ACGAACGCUGGCGGCGUGCCUAAUACAUGCAAGUUGAGCGCUGAAGGUUGGUACUUGUACCAACUGGAUGAGCAGCGAACGGGUGAGUAACGCGUGGGGAAUCUGCCUUUGAGCGGGGGACAACAUUUGGAAACGAAUGCUAAUACCGCAUAAAAACUUUAAACACAAGUUUUAAGUUUGAAAGAUGCAAUUGCAUCACUCAAAGAUGAUCCCGCGUUGUAUUAGCUAGUUGGUGAGGUAAAGGCUCACCAAGGCGAUGAUACAUAGCCGACCUGAGAGGGUGAUCGGCCACAUUGGGACUGAGACACGGCCCAAACUCCUACGGGAGGCAGCAGUAGGGAAUCUUCGGCAAUGGACGAAAGUCUGACCGAGCAACGCCGCGGGAGUGAAGAAGGUUUUCGGAUCGUAAAACUCUGUUGGUAGAGAAGAACGUUGGUGAGAGUGGAAAGCUCAUCAAGUGACGGUAACUACCCAGAAAGGGACGGCUAACUACGUG
Molecule: ribosomal RNA, 496 nt
Filed under: uncultured bacterium
Lineage: Bacteria
Description: partial 16S ribosomal RNA
Rfam family: Bacterial small subunit ribosomal RNA
Source: RNAcentral